UGUGCAUUCAAGGGCUUUCCACUCACAC
This 28-nucleotide non-coding RNA is filed under the name Mus musculus (house mouse). The record is from RNAcentral. Lineage: Eukaryota; Metazoa; Chordata; Mammalia; Rodentia; Muridae.